UACGUAGGGGGCGAGCGUUGUCCGGAAUCAUUGGGCGUAAAGCGCGUGUAGGCGGCCCGGUAAGUCCGCUGUGAAAGUCCAGGGCUCAACCCUGGGAUGCCGGUGGAUACUGUCGGGCUCGAGUCCGGAAGAGGCGAGUGGAAUUCCUGGUGUAGCGGUGAAAUGCGCAGAUAUCAGGAGGAACACCAAUUGCGAAGGCAGCUCGCUGGGACGUUACUGACGCUGAGACGCGAAAGCGUGGGGAGCAAACAGG
Molecule: ribosomal RNA, 253 nt
Filed under: uncultured bacterium
Lineage: Bacteria
Description: partial 16S ribosomal RNA
Rfam family: Bacterial small subunit ribosomal RNA
Source: RNAcentral